Malaclemys terrapin pileata is the source of this 956-nucleotide long non-coding RNA. RefSeq lists it as uncharacterized. The record is from RefSeq and is a predicted model, not a curated record. The transcript has 5 exons. NCBI's taxonomy places the organism in Eukaryota, Metazoa, Chordata, Testudines, Emydidae.
AAAGCUUCAAACAGGAACAGUCUUCCCCCAUCAGUGCAUUCGCAUCGGCAAUGUUGAAAUGCCAAGCGUGAUUCUGGAGGACACAGCCUAUUCCUUGCUCCCCUAGCUCCUGAAGCCAUACACCCUGAGAGCAUCAAAGACAGAUUCAGCUGACAGCUGAGCAGACGCUUUGCAAAGACUUCUUGCCGGCAACUCCGACAGAGGGGUAGGAGGGUGGGUAAUGGAAUGGACAUGAGCAACACACCUCGAAGAACAACAGUUACGAAAGACAGAUGAGUCACAAGCAAUAUCCCUGGAGGUGGGCUCAGAGUUCAUGGUUGUGCAGCUUCCAAUACUGCUCUACCGAAGCCAGCAUCAUCUCAGGCCUGCUGGACCCAGAUUGUGACAGGUGGAACGUACCAGAUCGAGGUUUCUUUGCACCUGGUCCCAAGAUUGUCCCUUGAUAAGCCAGUUGUCGAGGUACGGCUAGACCCGAAACCCUUGAUGCCUCAGGCACUUUGUCGAGGAGGCCCCCAGGACUUAGGUGGUGGAGGGGGCCGGAAUUGUUUUCUCACCUUCUGUGGCAUGUGGAGGCCCAGCGAGUGCAGAGUGGCUCGAGAAUCUUUGAGGCCAUCCCUCAAAGACUCCCGUCAGCUCUGAGAAGAGCCCAGUGCCCUCAAAUGGAAGGUCCUGGAUGGAGGACUGCAUUUCCUGGGACAGACUCAAGGAUUUUAGCCAAGAGCUGUGCCCCAUUACCACAGCCGAGGCAACGACUCUGGCAGAUGAAUUGGCAGAGUUCCAGGCCAUCUGGAGGGAGCCUCUUGCCAUCGCCUUGCCCUCCUCCAGGAUUGUGGCAAACUCCUGGACGAGGUCCUGUGGCAAAGCCUCCUUAAACUUGCUGAGGGAGUCCCACAGAUUAAAGUUAUAUUUCCCCAACCAGGCUUGAUGGUUGAACACCCGGAACUGGAGACGGGCUG